UACAGAGGCCUCGAGCGUUAGGCGGAAUCACUGGGCUUAAAGCGUGUGUAGGCGGACUUCUAAGUACCUUGUGAAAUCCCACGGCUCACCCGUGGAACUGCUUGGUAUACUGGUUGUCUUGAGCCUUCUAGGGGCGAGUGGAACAAAUGGUGGAGCGGUGAAAUGCGUAGAGAUGUGGAGGAACACCGAUGGCGAAGGCAGCCCCCUGGGCUGAGAUUGACGCUCAGGCACGAAAGCGUGGGGAGCAAACAGG
RNAcentral lists this ribosomal RNA (253 nucleotides) under uncultured bacterium. Its description in RNAcentral is "partial 16S ribosomal RNA". It matches the Rfam family "Bacterial small subunit ribosomal RNA", at positions 524 to 776 of the family's 1533-position model. The record is from RNAcentral.